CUUCCAACACUGUUUUACUGUGGAACUUCUGCAAGACUGCCAGCAGAGGGAUGCUGAUGAAAACAACAAUGGCAGCCAGACCCAAAGAAAGAGACAGAGUGAGAUUUGGGGCUGCACCACCAAGAGGAACGAUCAAGAAGUACAACAA
Molecule: long non-coding RNA, 148 nt
Organism: Mauremys reevesii (Reeves's turtle)
Lineage: Eukaryota; Metazoa; Chordata; Testudines; Geoemydidae
Exons: 3
Source: RefSeq, a predicted model, not a curated record